Molecule: small nucleolar RNA, 108 nt
Organism: Rhododendron vialii
Lineage: Eukaryota; Viridiplantae; Streptophyta; Magnoliopsida; Ericales; Ericaceae
Product: small nucleolar RNA snoR100
Exons: 1
Source: RefSeq, a predicted model, not a curated record
CAAUGAAGGAAGCAUGAUAAUGUGCACAUAAAUUGAAUUGGGUCUCUAGGCCUGGCAUCUCUGAUGCCAUUUGGCUUUGAUUUGGGGGCAUGGUUCCUUAGCAAAACA